GUUUCGCUUCUAGGAGCUGGAAACCUCGGCCACGCGGGCGUUUUCUGAUGGUGGCAUGAGGCGGUCGGGGUGACAGAUCUCGAUUGCAAAGAUCCCGACGGUCAUUAGACGGCAGCAGUCAGAGACGGAAUGGCCUUUGCUGCUGCUUCGUAGUCGCCCUGGAACGUGCAGCAUUAUCAUACAACAUGGAAACAUCUCAAGUCUCUGCGGAUUGGAAGACAUGACUCUCCAUCAGCUUGCAUGCAUGAGGUUGUACUUAUUUGUCAUGGGAGUCAACCCAGGCAGGAAUGCAGGACUUACCUUCAUUGUAAGCUCUAAUCCCAAGAAAAUCCCUUUUUGGAGAAAAGGGUGUUAGUGAUGCAUCUCUUCUGAUCUACAUUCCAAGAACGAUAUCAGCAUUUGAGGGUAAUAAAAGCAGUCCAAACCACCUCUGAAAUUUUUCCCUGGAAGCAGAGUUCCAUGUAUACCUGCUGGGAAUGGGAGAGACAAGAUUACACCUGGAUCUGAUCUUUUCCAGCCAUGGUGAAGAAGUGGGGGAAGGGUGUGGAACGCCUUUCUGCCACCACAGCUUUUUUUUCUACCCUUCCAAAGAGGAAAAAUUGAAAAUAAAAACAAGACAACUAAGGAAUGAAGUUAACUCCCUAGAGUUUUCUAGAGGGAGGAGUAUUUAUUCUCUUGUGUUUUUAAAAGGAAUGUUUUAAGAAUGUUCCGUGUCUUUCUCUACUUUCCAAAAGUAUAGGAAAAGAAGGCAUGGUCACUGCCCCCCCCUUCCCCCCCAAAAAAUCAAAAAGCCAUUUCCUCAAGCUUUGUAAGGAGCAUUUUAAAAAGUGCAUGGCUGGGUGUGCUUCUAAUGUAUACAUUUUCACAGCAAAUGUUGUAUUAGCAAAUUCCAUGUUUGAUACACGUACCUUACAAGCACCAUAAUGGCUUUUGUUGCAUUAUCUGUAAGUGUUUUAAAGGCCACGGGCAUUUUUCAAGACAAAAAUGUAAAGGUUAUGCCAACCAAUACAGCUGAACAUUUCUUUAGUGUAGGUUCUUAAUUUAUGAUUCUGAGGUUUGACGAUCCUCUGGAGAUGAGACGCAUUUGGGGUUUGCAAGAUCACACAAAAGGGAAACUCCAGUACUAACUGUCCCGAAACUUUUGCCUUUCAAGAUUUGAUCAGCAACACUUGCCUUGAUUUUAUAUUUCAGGACUGCAGCCUCUCUUUGCAUUUUUGUAGUUAGCAAGGGUAGCUUGGUAGUGUUGCAGAGCAUCCAGCCAAACUGACUUGGUAGCAUGUUCUCAGGUUGUCAGAGUGGGCGAUGAGUGAAAUUCAUGUGUUAACUGUAUUUUUUACCCCUUAAUUUCUUACGGCUUAGGUAUAAAUUGCCUGUUUAAAGAAAAGCACUGUGAAUAUGACUUUGGAGCGGAUGACACCAGACAUGCACCUGGAAGGCAAAAUCGCCAAACUGUGUCUCACUUAUUUUGGCCAUGGUAUCGGGGAAUUCACUGAAGAAAGUAGUUAUGCUUGGAAGAAUUAAGAGGUAAAAGGAAAUCAGGCCACCAAAGAACACUGGUUGGAUACUAUCAAGGCUGACACCAGCCAGACCAUAAAAUAACUCAAGGAAGCAGCCCAGGAUUGGAUGAUGUGGGAGACCUGGCCCAUAGAAUCACCAAGAAUCGAACACGAUUGAAUGGAUAACAUCAUCAUCAACAGAUCUAUAAGGUUUUAAUGUUUAUUAAAAGAUUUAGGGAAAGCUGUUUUUUUAUGACCAGAAUACAGGAGGAUACAUUUCAGCAAUAUUUGUUGGUUUUAAAAUGCCCGACUCCUUUUCUCUUGUUGAAAAAAGAACGUUUCAAGUCUUUAGGCUAGCUGGAGGCCAUUAAAAGAUUACACAA
Molecule: non-coding RNA, 1879 nt
Organism: Notechis scutatus (mainland tiger snake)
Lineage: Eukaryota; Metazoa; Chordata; Lepidosauria; Squamata; Elapidae
Source: RefSeq, a predicted model, not a curated record